AUACGGAGGAUCCGAGCGUUAUCCGGAUUUAUUGGGUUUAAAGGGUGCGCAGGCGGCCAUUUAAGUCAGCGGUUAAAUCGUGGGGCUCAACCCCAUUCUGCCGUUGAUACUGGGUGGCUUGAUUGCGGUCGAGGUUGGCGGAAUUCGUUGUGUAGCGGUGAAAUGCAUGGAAAUGACGAAGAACACCGAUUGCGUAGGCAGCUGACCAGACCGCAAAUGACGCUCAUGCACGAAAGUGCGGGGAUCGAACAGGAUUAGAUACCCUGGUAGUCCGCACAGUAAACGAUGAAUACUUGUUUUCGGCGAUAUAAUGUCGGAGGCAAAGCGAAAGCGAUAAGUAUUCCACCUGGGGAGUACGCCGGCAACGGUGAAACUCAAAGGAAUUGACGGG
Molecule: ribosomal RNA, 391 nt
Filed under: uncultured bacterium
Lineage: Bacteria
Description: partial 16S ribosomal RNA
Rfam family: Bacterial small subunit ribosomal RNA
Source: RNAcentral